GCCUAGCCCUAAACAUAGACAGCACAAAUACAAUACUGUCCGCCAGAGAACUACAAGUGAAAAACUAGAAACUCAAAGGACUUGGCGGUGCCCCACAUCAACCUAGAGGAGCCUGUCCUAUAAUCGAUAAUCCACGCUGCACCUUACCAUUUCUUGAAACUCAGCCUAUAUACCGCCGUCGAAAGCCUACCUUAUGAAAGAAACAAAGUAGGCAAAAUAGUCAACAACUAAAACGUCAGGUCAAGGUGUAGCACAUGAAAUGGCAGAGAUGGGCUACAUUUUCUAUCCCAGAAAACACGAACAGCACAAUGAAAUCUGUACUCAAAGGUGGAUUUAGCAGUAAGGUAAAAAAGANACUCUACCUUAAAUCCGCU
This 374-nucleotide ribosomal RNA is filed under the name Maracaiba zuliae (Maracaibo skink). RNAcentral describes it as "Mabuya zuliae (Maracaibo skink) partial 12S ribosomal RNA". It matches the Rfam family "Bacterial small subunit ribosomal RNA", at positions 794 to 1372 of the family's 1533-position model. Lineage: Eukaryota; Metazoa; Chordata; Lepidosauria; Squamata; Scincidae. The record is from RNAcentral.